Molecule: ribosomal RNA, 324 nt
Filed under: uncultured eukaryote
Lineage: Eukaryota
Description: partial 18S ribosomal RNA
Rfam family: Eukaryotic small subunit ribosomal RNA
Source: RNAcentral
CCCUUAGAUGUUCUGGGCUGCACGCGCGCUACACUGAAGCUAUCAACACGUUUUCCCUCCCUGAGAAGGGCGGGUAACCUUUUGAAUCAGCUUCGUGGUAGGGAUCGGGGCUUGCAAUUGUUCCCCGUGAACCAGGAAUUCCUAGUAGACGCGAGUCAUAAGCUCGCAUCGAUUAAGUCCCUGCCCUUUGUACACACCGCCCGUCGCUACUACCGAUUGAACGUUUUAGUGAGGCAUUUGGACCGACGCAUCUCAGUUUAACCGCUGGUUUGUGUUGGAAAGACUGCCAAACUUGAGCGUUUAGAGGAAGUAAAAGUCGUAACA